AACCAUAGAAACCUGCGGAGUACCUGCGGAGGGAUCAUUACAGAGUUGCAAAACUCCCCAAACCAUUGUGAACCUUACCUUCAAACGUUGCUUCGGCGGGCGGGCCACAGCGCCCCCCGGGCCCCCCCAGCGGGGGCGCCCGCCGGAGGAUACCCAAACUCUUGAUACUUUAUGGCCUCUCUGAGUCUUCUGUACUGAAUAAGUCAAAACUUUCAACAACGGAUCUCAGAUCGGAAGAGC
RNAcentral lists this unclassified non-coding RNA (240 nucleotides) under soil metagenome. RNAcentral describes it as "partial contains 5.8S ribosomal RNA, internal transcribed spacer 2, and large subunit ribosomal RNA". The record is from RNAcentral.